Cyanothece sp. is the source of this 76-nucleotide non-coding RNA. NCBI's taxonomy places the organism in Bacteria, Bacillati, Cyanobacteriota, Cyanophyceae, Gomontiellales, Cyanothecaceae. The record is from Rfam.
AGGAGCCGUAUGAACGAAAGUCUCAUGUACGGUUCUGAAGACGAGUGUAAAUGGUGACAUUUAUGCUUAGUUUAAC